GCGGCGAUAGCUCAGUGGGUCAAGAGCCAGGUGAGAAGAUGACGAUUAAUUAUCCGCGCGGGUUCGAAUCCCGCCUGUGGCA
Molecule: transfer RNA, 82 nt
Filed under: Aromia moschata
Lineage: Eukaryota; Metazoa; Arthropoda; Insecta; Coleoptera; Cerambycidae
Description: tRNA-OTHER
Rfam family: tRNA
About the family: Transfer RNA (tRNA) molecules are approximately 80 nucleotides in length. Their secondary structure includes four short double-helical elements and three loops (D, anti-codon, and T loops).
Source: RNAcentral